Molecule: long non-coding RNA, 3051 nt
Organism: Bacillus rossius redtenbacheri
Lineage: Eukaryota; Metazoa; Arthropoda; Insecta; Phasmatodea; Bacillidae
Exons: 2
Source: RefSeq, a predicted model, not a curated record
UCGGGGCCGGGGCAGGCCUGGUACGUGGUGUUCUCGGUGCGGAUCAUCACGAUGGUGGCCUUGCAGUUGAAGUAGUCCGCCACGUCCUUGGCCCCCAGGUCCGACUCGUCGGCCGUCUGCAGCGUGAUCCACUCCCCGUCCGUGCCUGCACAACCACACCGCCACGCGGUCUCCCCUCGGCCCCGUCCUCGCCGGACCGCCUCCCCCGCUCUACACCAGGGACCGUCCCUUGCGAGGGAUCGCAACCAACCACAACCCCACAGACCUGGUUCAAGCUGCUACUGACCUUUAAACAGGGCAAGGCCCGGGGCGGAACGCACCUCCGCCGGAACUACCCGCGGAGCGCGUGGAGAUGCUGGUGGUCUCCUGGUGAGCGCCGUAGUUGUCGAACCAGCCGCGCAGCCGGUGGGCCUCGGGGAUGUCUGGGUUCACCUGCAGCGCGCUGGUCUGCAUCAGCGACACCGAGCGCCCGCCCCCGAAGUCGUUGAUCUUGCCGCACUUGAUGGCCACCACCGGCUGCAGGCUGCCGUCAAACUCCUCCGCCUGGGCGCCCCACAGCGACACCGUCACCUGUCGGGCCCCACGUGGUUACGUCAGCGCGGCUCGCUCCCGUGACCCCUGGUGUACCCGACACACCCUUGGUAACCACCGACUCUACUGUACCGCAUGCUGCACACGCAGAAGGAAUACCAACUCAGAUAAGUUAAAAAUUAUAUUCAUACCACAGAACCCUGGAUUUAACGAAGUAGCAAUUUCUCGAAUUCAUUCUAAGAAACCGUGCUAAAGUCGAAAAUAUAAAUAAUAUGGUUUUCAAACUGUAAGGGGAAAAGUCCCUGGAAACAAAACACCCCCCCCCCCCCCCCCCCCCCCCACCACCGAAGGCCUGAACGCUACUCACUGCUGUGUUGGACUGAUCCACGAGCGUGAUGUCACGCUUCUUCACCUCCCGGUUGGUCGUCCUGGCCACGAACGUGUUGACGUCGCCCGCGCUCUUGCACACGCCGAUGACGUCUGCAACCACCAAUCACAUCUGGUUACAUACAGGAGACGUGCUUACAUGAGCUCUUCAUAACAUACUGGUAUCACAGACGAACAUUAACGUCUGUGCCCAAUGUCUUGGCAGGUGAGAAUUCUGAAUGCAGGGAGAUCCUCACUUGAGAAACUUUUGAGGUAAGUCAAUAUUUUUUGUAAAAGUUUGUACAAGAUGACCCUAAUGUCAGCUACAAUGAUCCACGGAGUUGGUAACUUGUAGUGCUGGGCGCCAAGAUGUUUCGUUUUUAAACAUUUUGAAUACUGCACUUGUAAGUAUUUGCGAUCAUCACAUAGCAUGUAAGAAUAAAGGAGUAGAAACAAAAUAAACCUAAUGGUUUUUGUUUGAACAUAAUAAAAAUAAAAAAAUCUUAUUAAUGCAUUUAUAUAGAAAGUAUUUUAAUAAAUCUUAUCUAAAAAAGCUGCUAACCUUAAUUAUUUCACAUAUGAGAACAUUAAAUCCAUCCAGUCAAGCGGUUCUUCACAACUUAGUUUCAAGUUGAACAUGAAAUCUUCUGUUCUUGGGAAAGAGAUAUGCACAUCGGAGCAUCUUAAAAUGUCCACUUUGUAAUGGACUUGGAAUAUAAUUGCAUGUUACCAUUUAAUUUAUUUAUUUAUUUCAGAUUUUUGUCAGAUAUAACUCAAUUAAACACAACACAACAACUUUCAAACAUUUGUUUAUGCAUAGUAACAGAAAAAGUUACAAAUGUGUCCAUUGCAAUGUUUGGAUAGUAUUUUCUAGCAUCAACCCUAACAUUACCACAAGAUUUUUAUUUUUUAUUUUUUGUUUAUUUCUGGGGAGCAACACAAUUUUUAUCAGUGCAGGAACGUAGCUGAUUUUGUAAUUGCAUUCUAGGGAUGUGCGAGUACCCGAUAUUUUCGGAUACGGUUCGAAUCCACAAUUACCCGAACCCGGAAUCGUUGUACGUACAUGGAUUCGAACAGUAUUACGAAUAUUCACAAAAGUUAUAAAUUAAUUUAAUACGGCUCAAAAAUACUAACAGUGAAAAAUAAAAUUAGGCUAAUAUUACGUAAUUGUUUAUAAUAUGAUGUAUCAAAGAAAGAUACGUAAAUUAAAUAAUUAACACAGUGACAUUAAAAGAAUUUAGAGAUUUUGAGAGCUUAAACUAUAAUUACGAAUUUUGUCGUUUAGCAAACUAUAAACUAAAAACAAUUACAUACCUACAAGAAAAAAACGUCUUGGCUAUUUAUUGGAGAAAAAAUGGUUUUGUUUACUGAAAAGUUUAUAAAACUGAGAUUUCCCUGUGGCGUGCAGUUUAUUAUGAUUGAGAUGGAGAAUCGAAUACGUACGUUUUGGUUUUCAUAUUUUAAAGUGUUUGUUAUUAAUUAAAUUUACAUAAUUAUAAACAUUUCAAUCUCAGUGUAAUAAAUAAUAGCCAGUAGUUACAGUUAGAAAAAAGAGAACACACAUUAUUUUUAAAUUAAUUAAAUUAUUUUUAAUUAUUCUGUGCUUAAUAUUUGGAAUCGGAUUCAUAUCUCAAAUAUUGCCAGGGAUUCGAAUCGGAUUUGAACCAAACUGAAAAUCAAGGAUUCACACAUCCCUAUCGCAUCCUGAAGGUUUCCAGUGGGGGAGUCGGCAUCGUACCGACGAUGGUGUUCCCGUCGGCCUCAGCCAGCUUGUUGAUCGGCACGAAGUUGAACGAGGUGGUGGGGAUGUCCUUGUCAUCCUCGCACGGCGUCACCGCCGUGCCGUGGUUGAACGUGAUCUCGUACUCGUGCUUGAUGUUGCUGAACUGCUUGUUGGCCGCCUUCACCGUGAAGCCCUUGAAGACGUACACCUGGUUCACCUGCCGACACAGCCCACCAGCCGGGUCUGAACUCUCGAGCCAGCUUCCCAGCUACAUCACAACUGUGCCCGGCUAAGACGACAACUGUUCCUUGCACUAAACACUUUUCAUGCAACUCUACGAUUAUUGCAGGUAGAUGUGUGCGUACGUUUAAGGCCAUCAAUUGAUUUGAAACUACUGACGAUAAUUACUCAAUAAAAACGUCUAGAACGAA